RNAcentral lists this ribosomal RNA (253 nucleotides) under uncultured bacterium. RNAcentral's name for it is "partial 16S ribosomal RNA". It matches the Rfam family "Bacterial small subunit ribosomal RNA", at positions 524 to 776 of the family's 1533-position model. The record is from RNAcentral.
UACAGGGGGUGCAAACGUUGCUCGGAAUCAUUGGGCGUAAAGCGCACGUAGGCGGUCUGUUAUGUCGGAUGUGAAAUCCCUCGGCUCAACCGAGGACGUGCAUUCGAAACUGGCAAGCUCGAGUAUGGAAGAGGGUCGCGGAAUUCCCGGUGUAGAGGUGAAAUUCGUAGAUAUCGGGAGGAACACCAGUGGCGAAGGCGGCGACCUGGGCCAAUACUGACACUGAGGAGCGAAAGCGUGGGGAGCGAACAGG